Molecule: long non-coding RNA, 449 nt
Organism: Olea europaea var. sylvestris
Lineage: Eukaryota; Viridiplantae; Streptophyta; Magnoliopsida; Lamiales; Oleaceae
Exons: 3
Source: RefSeq, a predicted model, not a curated record
CCCAUCAACACAAAAAUUUGGAGAGAAUGCAUAUUGAAGAAGAAGAUCCAAAAAUCCACAAUCAAUAACGUAAAAUCUACAAUCAAGAAUCAAGUUGAAGGAAUUCAAGAAUCAAGAUUAUGGAUCCAGAAGCAAAACCAAGAACAAAAACCAAAGAAUUCAAGGAGGCAAAAAUUCAAGAUUGAAAGCAAGAAACCAAUCAAGAAGGGAUUCCAGGUUGAUUUUGAAGAUUCAAGAUCUGAAAUUAAGAUCCAGUAAUAAAAAAUCGUUCCCAAAGAAUUAAGGUAAUUGGACUGAUGGUAUGGAAAGAAUUGCACCUAGGGCAAUUGGAUGCAAAGACGGUCAUUUUUUCAUGGUGAUUUGGACGAAAAAAUUACAAGAUGCAGCUAUAAGUUUUCGAGGUACAAAAACAGGGGAAAAUGGUGCUUGCAAAAAUGAAGUGACAAGUU